RNAcentral lists this ribosomal RNA (555 nucleotides) under Clemnius decoratus. RNAcentral's name for it is "SSU rRNA". It matches the Rfam family "Eukaryotic small subunit ribosomal RNA", at positions 22 to 547 of the family's 1831-position model. Lineage: Eukaryota; Metazoa; Arthropoda; Insecta; Coleoptera; Dytiscidae. The record is from RNAcentral.
AGUCAUAUGCUUGUCUCAAAGAUUAAGCCAUGCAUGUCUCAGUACAAGCCGAAUUAAGGUGAAACCGCGAAAGGCUCAUUAAAUCAGUUAUGGUUCCUUAGAUCGUACCCACACUUACUUGGAUAACUGUGGUAAUUCUAGAGCUAAUACAUGCAAACAGAGCUCCGACCGGAGACGGGAGGAGUGCUUUUAUUAGAACAAAACCAAUCGGCGGCGGGCGCGUCCGCGCGUCCGUUCGCCGCUCAACCUGGUGACUCUGAAUAACUUUCCGCUGAUCGCACGGUCUCGCACCGGCGACUUAUCUUUCAAAUGUCUGCCUUAUCAACUGUCGAUGGUAGGUUCUGCGCCUACCAUGGUCGUAACGGGUAACGGGGAAUCAGGGUUCGAUUCCGGAGAGGGAGCCUGAGAAACGGCUACCACAUCCAAGGAAGGCAGCAGGCGCGCAAAUUACCCACUCCCGGCACGGGGAGGUAGUGACGAAAAAUAACGAUACGGGACUCAUCCGAGGCCCCGUAAUCGGAAUGAGUACACUUUAAAUCCUUUAACGAGGAUCAA